CCUACGGGUGGCAGCAGUGGGGAAUAUUGGGCAAUGGGCGCAAGCCUGACCCAGCAACGCCGCGUGAAGGAAGAAGGCUUUCGGGUUGUAAACUUCUUUUAGGAGGGAAGAGCAGAAGACGGUACCUCUUGAAUAAGCCACGGCUAACUACGUGCCAGCAGCCGCGGUAAUACGGAGGUGGCAAGCGUUGUCCGGAUUUACUGGGUGUAAAGGGCGUGUAGCCGGGCUGACAAGUCAGAUGUGAAAGUCAGGGGCUCAACCCCGGAACUGCCUUUGAAACUGUUGGUCUUGAGUAUCGAAGAGGCAGGCGGAAUUCCUAGUGUAGCGGUGAAAUGCGGAGAUAUUAGGAGGAACACCAGUGGCGAAGGCGGCCUGCUGGACGACAACUGACGGUGAGGCGCGAAAGCGUGGGGAGCAAACAGGAUUAGAUACCCCUGUAGUC
RNAcentral lists this ribosomal RNA (442 nucleotides) under uncultured bacterium. Its description in RNAcentral is "partial 16S ribosomal RNA". It matches the Rfam family "Bacterial small subunit ribosomal RNA", at positions 338 to 795 of the family's 1533-position model. The record is from RNAcentral.